GAUGAAGAACGCAGCGAAAUGCGAUACGUAAUGUGAAUUGCAGAAUUCAGCGAAUCAUCGAAUCUUUGAACGCAUAUUGCGCUCUCUGGUAUUCCGGAGAGCAUGCUUGUUUGAGUAUCAGUAAACACCUCAACUUCCAUAUCUUUUUUGAAAUGGGAGUUGGACUUGAGUGAUCCCAACGCUUUUCCUCACCGAAAAGUGGCGGGUUACUUGAAAUGCAGGUGCAGCUGGACUUUUCUCUGAGCUAUAAGCAUAUCUAUUUAGUCUGCCUAAAAAACAGAUUAUUACCUUUGCUGCAGCUAACAUAAAGGAGAUUAGUUCUUGUGCUGACUGAUGCAGGAUUCACAAAGACGGCUUCGGCCGACUUUGUAAACUCGAUCUCAAAUCAAGUAAGACUACCCGCUGAACUUAAGCAUAUCAAUAAGCGGAGGA
RNAcentral lists this unclassified non-coding RNA (432 nucleotides) under soil metagenome. RNAcentral's name for it is "partial contains 5.8S ribosomal RNA, internal transcribed spacer 2, and large subunit ribosomal RNA". The stretch from base 1 to 120 matches the Rfam family "5.8S ribosomal RNA", at positions 35 to 154 of the family's 154-position model. The record is from RNAcentral.